Molecule: non-coding RNA, 971 nt
Organism: Microcebus murinus (gray mouse lemur)
Lineage: Eukaryota; Metazoa; Chordata; Mammalia; Primates; Cheirogaleidae
Source: RefSeq, a predicted model, not a curated record
AGUGAUUCUCCCUCCUCAACCUCCUGAGUAGCUAGGACUGUAGAAUCUGCUCAUGAAGUUCUAUAAAAAAUCCUCAUGGCAUUUGACUUGUAUUGCACUGGAGAAUGAUCUGCUUUCCUUAAAGUCAACCGAUUAUGAAUGUUAACCGUUUCUACAAAACACCUUCACAGCAAAAUUUAGACUACUGUUCGACCAAACAACUGGGCACGAUAGCCCAGCCAAAUUGACACACAGAAGUAACCACCACGGAUGGUCAUGGCUGCUACUUCACAGAGAAAACAGGAGUCGUCAAAAAGACACUCUGUCAAGUUCCUGCCCGCUGUGUGAUCAGCCCAAUACCCAGCUCCCUCUGCGAAUAACUGAGUCCGUUGCCUGCGUUUCCCUUCCCGCAGCACUUGGUCUCUGCUCCCUGAUUCCACUUGCUUCUGUGUUUUCUCACAUUUCUUACUCCUUCUUGAUCCCUAGAAAGGAUCCUCUUCAACUUCAUAUCUUUGAAUUAUUGGAGUUCAUGGGGGUUCUGUCUCGAGCCCUCUUUUCAUCUUCAGAACAAUUCUCCAUCUUUCUGGGCCAUGAACUGGUAGCACCCGAGAUUGUGUUCAGAGGUACACAGCAGGCACUCAAUGGUAGCUUAACCAGGUAAGGUUUAUUUUUCUCUGACAAGAUGGAGUCCAGAGGUAGGCAGGUCAGGGCUGGCACAGUGGGGACCCAGGUUCUUCCCAACUCUCCAUUCUGCUGUCCUUCGUAGGUGGCCUGGCGCUCACACUCACACGUGGCUGCUGCCCUCUAGGCAUCACCUCUGCACCUGCAGUGUCUUCCCACCAACUCUUUGGAAUCUGAUUCACUUAUUUAUUGACAACCUACUAUGUGCCAACACUCUUCUGGGCCCUGGAAAUACAAAAGGGAAAAAAUAAAAUAAAAAUCCUUGUUCUUGUGGUCAAACAUACUAAAUAAAAUUCUCAACUGUUUAUGUC